This 343-nucleotide ribosomal RNA is filed under the name Pediococcus acidilactici. Its description in RNAcentral is "bacterial SSU rRNA". It matches the Rfam family "Bacterial small subunit ribosomal RNA", at positions 87 to 427 of the family's 1533-position model. The record is from RNAcentral. Lineage: Bacteria; Bacillati; Bacillota; Bacilli; Lactobacillales; Lactobacillaceae.
CGAAGUGAGUGGCGGACGGGUGAGUAACACGUGGGUAACCUGCCCAGAAGCAGGGGAUAACACCUGGAAACAGAUGCUAAUACCGUAUAACAGAGAAAACCGCCUGGUUUUCUUUUAAAAGAUGGCUCUGCUAUCACUUCUGGAUGGACCCGCGGCGAUUAGCUAGUUGGUGAGGUAACGGCUCACCAAGGCGAUGAUGCGUAGCCGACCUGAGAGGGAAUCGGCCACAUUGGGACUGAGACACGGCCCAGACUCCUACGGGAGGCAGCAGUAGGGAAUCUUCCACAAUGGACGCAAGUCUGAUGGACAACGCCGCGUGAGUGAAGAAGGGUUUCGGCUCGUA